AUGAAGGAUGAAAUGUUUUUUCCAAUUCCAUCUGAUUUUUUGAAAGAUGACAACAAGGGUGAUAUUACCACUGCUACUACUACCCAUGCUACUACUACCCAUGCUACUACUACCCAUGCUACUACUACCACUGCUACUAGUACUACUACUAAUACUAUCACCACUACUAUUGCAACUACUCCUACCAAUAGUAGUUAUUAUCAUAUUAAUAGCAAGGAUAGUAUUAAUAAUAACAUUUGUGAUUACAAUAUAACUGGUAGUGCUAUUACGAAUAAUAACAACUCGAAUUUUAGUGGGGGUAUGACUAGUACCACUGCUAUCGCAACAAUGAACUCGAACAUGUUAAACUACAAUAUUUCUCGUUAUCACAUUCUUAAUGAAAAGAACAGAUGUUCUAAUAAAAAUAAAAAAGAUAAAAUUGGAAUGAGUCACAAUUUAUCACGUAAUGUAAGAAACACUAUUUUUACAGAUUAUUUUUUGCCAACAACACAACAAACACAUAAAAUAAUAAAUUGCAAUAUGAUAACGUGGGAAAAUUUUUUUGAAAACAGAAAUAAUAACAAAAAUGGUAAAAACAGCAUUCAUAAUAGUAGCAGCAAUACAACUUAUAUGGUAAAAACAUGUGAAAAUGAUAAUAAAGCUUUAUUUUUUAAUUAUCGUUGUAUAAAAAAAAAUAAAAGAUCUAUUAGUGUAGAUAUUUUAUUUUCAACAAAAAAUAAUAUGCAUAGAACGACAAAUAAUAGCUUUUUAGAUACUAGCCAAAAAAAAUAUGAAAAUUUAAUUAAUUUAGGAUUAAUAAAAAAAAAGAACAAAAGUGAUAUCAUCACACGACAUAAUUAUAAUUUAAGCAAUGUGUAUCUAAGUAGUAACAAUAAUAAUAACAAUAAUAAUAACAAUAAUAAUAACAAUAGUAAUAACAAUAAUAAUAAUAAUAAUAAUAAUAAUAAUAAUAUGUUUGAAAAAAAAAAUAUAAAUGAUACUAAAAAGUUGGUAGAAUAUAAAAACGUUAUAGAUAAUAAUGAAAAGAAUUACAAAAAUGAAAUUUUAAUUGUAUUAAACAAUGAACGAAUUGUACAUAUGCAGAAUGAAAAUAAUUCAUUAUCAAAUUUAAACAAUACCAUAGAAAGUAGUUUUAAAAAUAAAAAUACAAAUGCAAUUAGUUUUAAAGACAAGUUUUUGACUCAUGUAGAUACUUUGAAAAAUAAAACGAAGCAAUUUAACGAAUCAAUUAAAAAUAUAUAUGAAAACAAAGAUAAUACAUUUUUUAAAACAUUUUUUAAAUCGAAUAAAAUAAAAGAAAAAAGUGUAUCAGAUAAUGAACAGGAUGUCGAGCACCAAACACAACAUACUGAUAAUACAAAUGACGUGUUGAACUUGAAUAACACAGAUUGUUGCAAAUAUAUAAUAGAAAAAACUGAAAGAAGUAAUAAAGAGUUGGGUAAUAAAUGUAGUGAUGUGUAUCAAAUUAAUAAAAUAGACCUAACUAAUAAAAUAGACCUAAGUAAUAAAAUAGACCUAAGUAAUAAAAUAUAUGUGACGGAUAAAAGUAAGAAGCUUCGUUCAAAUUAUGCGAAUAUUGAGUUAGACAUAGAUAAUGUGAACGGAUAUAAUAAUAAUAAUAAGAAUAAUAAUAAUAAUAAUAAUAAUAAUAAUAAUAAUAAUAAUAAUGAGGCUGAUAAUAUGCCGAACCAUGUAAAUAGUACCACUAAUAAUGUUAAAAAAAAUACUAAUGAUGUAAUAGAUUAUUAUGGAAAUUUAGUUGCAAAAGAUACUUUGAAUAAAAUGUAUGAAAGUGAUAAAAUAAAAACAACUGAGGAAAUAUAUUUUGACAGAACAAAAGACAUACAACUCGACGAAAUAAGUAACCUGGAAGAAUAUAACAGGUUUUAUAAAUUAAAUUAUGAUGAAAAAACCAAAACUUUAUUUAAUAAUGUAACUACAAAUACAAGCAGUGGUGAUGAUUCUGUUAAUAGCAUAUUGAAAGAAAAAUAUUGUAACUAUCAAAAACGAAGAAAUAAGUACAGACAAUUGUUUGAAUAUAUAAAAGAAUUAAGUUGGAGUAUAAAACAAAAAGAAAACAAAAAAAGUUUUAAUUUAUAUAUGAACAGUAUAAGUCAAAAGAGUAAAUGCAAUAUUGGUAGUAAUAGCAGUAGUGACUCUAUACGCACAAGUUUUAGCUUAUGUAGUAAUCGUAGUAGUAUAUAUACACCUUACAGUAAUGCUUAUUCAAAUCAGAGUCUACAUAGUAUUCAUAAUACAAGCAAAAACAGUAGCAAAAGAAAAGAUACAAACAAAUACAAUGAAAAAAUCAUAGACAAAAAAGAUUUUAAGAAUACUGCUACUACUAAUACUACUAUGUCACAGGAAGAGGAAUUGAAAAAACAAAAAGAACUUCUAAAUAAAUUAAUACUACUUAAAUAUAAUAUUUUAAAAAAACAAGAACAUAAUCUUACCAAAAAAAAAAAUAAAAAAAAUAUUUAUAUGAAUGACUCUUCUGAAGAAAUCGAAAUGUUUAGUGAUAGUGAAAACAGUAGUGAUUAUUAUUUUGGAAAAAAUAAAAAAAUAAAAAAUUAUUUUUACGAUAUAAAAUAUCAAACAGUAAAAGAAAAAAAACAAAAAAUUAAACUAAAUGAAAAAAUAAAAAAAUUAGAAACGUAUUUAAUUAUGAAUAAUAUAUAUAAAAAAGAUAAUAAAGGAUUAAUUGCAAAAGAACAUCAUACGAUACAUAAAAAAACAGAUUUUUAUUGGAAACUAGCCAAUACAAAAAGGGAUGUAAACAUAGUUCAAAAUAUAUCUAAUAAUUUAAUGGAAACCGGAUUCACUAAUUUUGUUGAUCAGGCUAAUAAAAGUGCAUCCAACAAUGUAAGUGCUGUAAAUAGUGCUGACAAUACUAACGCUGCUAACACGGCCAACAUUGAUAAUAAUAAUAAUAAUAAUAAUAACAAUAAUAAUAAUAAUGGUAAUAAUAAAAAGAAAAAAUAUAUCAAUACUAAUUCAGAAGUUACAAAUCCGAGUAAUAAAAAAAAGGAACAAACAAAAUUUGACACAAAUAGUACCAGUGUUAAUGUUACUACUACUACUACUUAUAGUGGAAGCAACGACAGCAAUAAGAAUAGAGAAAACACAACUGUUGUGGAAGCUAAACCAGAUGAUAUACAACUUCAGUUUCAAACCAAAAUAAAAAAUUAUUUAGAUAAUUUUAAUGCUACCAAAUGUGAUAAAUAUAUAUCGUUUUUAAUGUUAGCACAAAAAAAGCCAUACAUAUUAGACCCAUCUAUAUAUGACUCAAAAAAAAUUCUUGAUAAGCAUAUACCGACUAAUGGACGUUUUACUGCUAAGGCAAUGUGUAAAAUAUUAGCUUAUACGAAUAAUAAUUUUUUUUUCCCUUCUUAUAUAUUAAAUAAAAUGAGAAAAGUAUAUGCAUAUGAUAAUAGUAUAGAAGCUGCUAUAUUGACUGGUGGAAUGAGUAGAACAUGGGGAAUGGGUUUUCAAUUGUUUACAUGUGAAUAUGCAGGAGAUAUAAAUGAAGAGUUUUAUUUGUAUAAAAAAAUAAAAAACAGAAGGAAAGUGAAAAAAGAGAAUGUUAAAAAGGGUAGGCAUCAUAGUAGAACGAAAGGUAACAAAAGAAAUGGAAAUCGGACUGACGACUGUAAUAAUAACAAUACAGCUGAAACUAUUCAAAGCAGAAAAAUUGUUGGCUAUGGACAAUCAGAUUGUUCAGGAUGUUUGGCUUUAUCAUUUCCAGAAAUCGAUUUGUCUCUUACUAUUUUGUUAUCUGAUCUAUUUAAAGGAGCAGAUGUAAGUGUAAAAAAAAAAAAAAAAAAAAAAAAAAAAAUCAAACCCAAUAACUUUAUUAUAUAUAUGUAUAUUUGUCUGUAUAACUUCACAUUUUUUACAUAUAUAUUGCACAAAAUUAUGAACAUGCAUAUUGUUCUACAUUGUUCUACAUUGUUCUACUUUACUCUACACUGUUACUUAUUCAUUUUUUUUUUUUUUUUUUUUUUUUAUCAUUAG
Molecule: long non-coding RNA, 4014 nt
Filed under: Piliocolobus tephrosceles (Ugandan red Colobus)
Lineage: Eukaryota; Metazoa; Chordata; Mammalia; Primates; Cercopithecidae
Description: lncRNA (ENSPTEG00000017245.1)
Source: RNAcentral